RNAcentral lists this ribosomal RNA (254 nucleotides) under uncultured bacterium. Its description in RNAcentral is "partial 16S ribosomal RNA". It matches the Rfam family "Bacterial small subunit ribosomal RNA", at positions 524 to 776 of the family's 1533-position model. The record is from RNAcentral.
UACGUAGGGUGCAAGCGUUAAUCGGAUUUACUGGGCGUAAAGGGCGCGUAGGCGGUCGUGACAAGUCACUUGUGAAAUCUCCGGGCUUAACUCGGAACGGUCAAGUGAUACUGUCGGACUAGAGUACAGAAGGGGCAACUGGAAUUCUCGGUGUAGCGGUGAAAUGCGUAGAUAUCGAGAGGAACACCUGCGGCGAAGGCGGGUUGCUGGGCUGAUACUGACGCUGAGGCGCGAAAGCCAGGGGAGCGAACGGG